Long non-coding RNA from Pundamilia nyererei, 509 nucleotides. RefSeq lists it as uncharacterized. NCBI's taxonomy places the organism in Eukaryota, Metazoa, Chordata, Actinopteri, Cichliformes, Cichlidae. The transcript has 2 exons. The record is from RefSeq and is a predicted model, not a curated record.
UGUGUGUGUGUGUGCGCAUGUGUGUGUGUGUGCGUGCGUGCGUGCGUGCGUGUUGGCCAGUACAGAGAAGCUGAUGGGACUGCUGUUUCCUGCUGUGUGGUGGGUGAGCCGUUUGCUUCGCUGCUGUUUGGCUCCAGAAAUCAAACGUCUCUUCAUACGAGUGAAGCUGAGGAUGACAAGCACAGGUUCAGGGGUGCUGUGAGGAAAAGCAGCUGUGCAUGAUUCACAGCUGGAUCCAUCCAUGUUAACAGAACACAAACAAACCGCCAUGUCAGCCCCACGGUGAUUAAAAAAGAUCCACCUCCUCAAACUAAUCGGGAAACGUCUUUUUCAGACGAACUCUGUUUGCUCAGCAGUUCAAGCAGCAGGUGGACCAAAGAAUUCUGGGUUGCCUUUAUUUGCAUUUUUAUCCUUUUGCUUGUUGAAGCUAUUUUGAGCUGUUACUUCCUGAUUCUCUGAGUAGAUGUUUAAAAACAGAAUAAAUGCUGUGAUGCAGCAUCAAACCCACA